This 30-nucleotide non-coding RNA is filed under the name Mus musculus (house mouse). Lineage: Eukaryota; Metazoa; Chordata; Mammalia; Rodentia; Muridae. The record is from RNAcentral.
UCUUAGCAAACUGGUAUGUUAAGUGCGCCA